GAAACGAGAACGGAAUGUUUGCCA
This 24-nucleotide non-coding RNA is filed under the name Drosophila melanogaster (fruit fly). Lineage: Eukaryota; Metazoa; Arthropoda; Insecta; Diptera; Drosophilidae. The record is from RNAcentral.